This 253-nucleotide ribosomal RNA is filed under the name uncultured bacterium. RNAcentral's name for it is "partial 16S ribosomal RNA". It matches the Rfam family "Bacterial small subunit ribosomal RNA", at positions 524 to 776 of the family's 1533-position model. The record is from RNAcentral.
UACGUAGGGUGCGAGCGUUGUCCGGAGUUACUGGGCGUAAAGCGUACGCAGGCGGUCUGUUAAGUUUGGGGUGACAGUUGGUGGCUUAACUGCCAAAGUGCUUUGAAAACUGACAGACUUGAGGGCUUCAGAGGGACACGGAAUUCCGGGUGGAGUGGUGAAAUGCGUAGAGAUCCGGAGGAACACCAAAGGCGAAGGCGGUGUCCUGGGGAGUAACUGACGCUCAGGUGCGAAAGCCAGGGGAGCGAACGGG